AACGAACGCUGGCGGCAUGCCUAACACAUGCAAGUCGAACGAAGCCUUCGGGCUUAGUGGCGCACGGGUGCGUAACGCGUGGGAAUCUGCCCUUGGGUUCGGAAUAACAGUUAGAAAUGACUGCUACUACCGGAUGAUGUCUUCGGACCAAAGACUUAUCGACCAAGGAUGAGCCCGCGUAGGAUUAGGUAGUUGGUGGGGUAAUGGCCCACCAAGCCGACGAUCCUUAGCUGGUCUGAGAGGAUGAUCAGCCACACUGGGACUGAGACACGGCCCAGACUCCUACGGGAGGCAGCAGUGGGGAAUAUUGGACAAUGGGCGAAAGCCUGAUCCAGCAAUGCCGCGUGAGUGAUGAAGGCCUUAGGGUUGUAAAGCUCUUUUACCAGGGAUGAUAAUGACAGUACCUGGAGAAUAAGCUCCGGCUAACUCCGUGCCAGCCGCCGCAGUAA
RNAcentral lists this ribosomal RNA (449 nucleotides) under uncultured bacterium. RNAcentral's name for it is "partial 16S ribosomal RNA". It matches the Rfam family "Bacterial small subunit ribosomal RNA", at positions 29 to 523 of the family's 1533-position model. The record is from RNAcentral.